RNAcentral lists this ribosomal RNA (773 nucleotides) under Salmonella enterica subsp. enterica serovar Thompson. RNAcentral describes it as "partial 23S ribosomal RNA". It matches the Rfam family "Bacterial large subunit ribosomal RNA", at positions 517 to 1190 of the family's 2925-position model. The record is from RNAcentral. Lineage: Bacteria; Pseudomonadati; Pseudomonadota; Gammaproteobacteria; Enterobacterales; Enterobacteriaceae.
AAAAGAACCCCGGCGAGGGGAGUGAAAAAGAACCUGAAACCGUGUACGUACAAGCAGUGGGAGCCCCACCACUAAGCCAGUGGUGAACUCCACAUACGCAUCCUUUGCUGAGGAUACGGUUAACGGAGCGAAAGCGACGUUCAACCGCAAAACAAGCAGAGGGGGCUUAGUGGUGGGGUGACUGCGUACCUUUUGUAUAAUGGGUCAGCGACUUAUAUUCUGUAGCAAGGUUAACCGAAUAGGGGAGCCGGAGGGAAACCGAGUCUUAAUUGGGCGUUAAGUUGCAGGGUAUAGACCCGAAACCCGGUGAUCUAGCCAUGGGCAGGUUGAAGGUUGGGUAACACUAACUGGAGGACCGAACCGACUAAUGUUGAAAAAUUAGCGGAUGACCUGUGGCUGGGGGUGAAAGGCCAAUCAAACCGGGAGAUAGCUGGUUCUCCCCGAAAGCUAUUUAGGUAGCGCCUCGUGAAUUCAUCUCCGGGGGUAGAGCACUGUUUCGGCUAGGGGGCCAUCCCGGCUUACCAACCCGAUGCAAACUGCGAAUACCGGAGAAUGUUAUCACGGGAGACACACGGCGGGUGCUAACGUCCGUCGUGAAGAGGGAAACAACCCAGACCGCCAGCUAAGGUCCCAAAGUCAUGGUUAAGUGGGAAACGAUGUGGGAAGGCCCAGACAGCCAGGAUGUUGGCUUAGAAGCAGCCAUCAUUUAAAGAAAGCGUAAUAGCUCACUGGUCGAGUCGGCCUGCGCGGAAGAUGUAACGGGGCUAAACCAU